GGCAAGGUGGCCGAGUGGUUAAGGCGUCAGAUUUAAGUCACUACGUUGAUCCCUGAUGACGAAAGUCGCACGAGUUCGAACCUCGUUCUUGCCA
Non-coding RNA from Aspergillus melleus, 94 nucleotides. The record is from the annotation of a RefSeq genome assembly. Lineage: Eukaryota; Fungi; Ascomycota; Eurotiomycetes; Eurotiales; Aspergillaceae.